GGGUUGUUAGCUCAGUUGGUAGAGCGCCUCUCUUACACGGAGGAUGUCCAGGGUUCGAGACCUUGACAACCCA
Molecule: transfer RNA, 73 nt
Filed under: Stenotrophomonas phage IME-SM1
Lineage: Duplodnaviria; Heunggongvirae; Uroviricota; Caudoviricetes
Rfam family: tRNA
About the family: Transfer RNA (tRNA) molecules are approximately 80 nucleotides in length. Their secondary structure includes four short double-helical elements and three loops (D, anti-codon, and T loops).
Source: Rfam by way of RNAcentral